Non-coding RNA from Paramuricea clavata, 330 nucleotides. NCBI's taxonomy places the organism in Eukaryota, Metazoa, Cnidaria, Anthozoa, Malacalcyonacea, Plexauridae. The record is from the annotation of a GenBank genome assembly.
CUGACUUAUCUGCCCAUGUGUCUAUUUAACCCAUUGAGUCGCAUUGCGCCCUGAUGCACCAUACUUUAUUAUUUUACUCUGUCUAAUGCCAGACGAUUUUACUCGUCAAGGGGAGAGUGCUGGCGAUUAAUGGGUUAACAAGAUUUAUUUAAAAUGUCAGAAGCCCUGGGGGUGGGCACUUUUGAAUGCAUUAUUAUUGUGAUGAUAUCAUUCCAACUCUUCAUCAUCCUCAAAACCUUUGAAGUCUUUUCCACCAAAAGCUUGUCGUAUGGCAUGAUAAGCACAUGCUGGUAAAGGUAUUCUUCUCUUUCCCAAGUAUCCAUAAACCAA